Molecule: long non-coding RNA, 832 nt
Filed under: Ananas comosus (pineapple)
Lineage: Eukaryota; Viridiplantae; Streptophyta; Magnoliopsida; Poales; Bromeliaceae
Description: long non-coding RNA (ACOM_LNC010668)
Source: RNAcentral
UAAGGUUUGUAAAAUAUUUGAAAUUUGUUUCCAAGCAAAGUUUCUUUCUUGUCAUUUAUUGGGUAGCAAGUGAAAGACAAUAAAUGAAUUCAGGAUAGCAAAUCAAAUAUUUUUUAGGAAUAAUUACUUAUAUACCUUUCAAAACUUAAGAAAUAUUUUAUUUAUUCCUACUUUUUUUUUUCUUUCUAAUAUACCCUUCAUAUUUUCCUCUGUUAUUCCAAAACAGCUCUGCAGUUACCACCCGUUAAGUUAACUUAGAUUAAACGUGGGUUAAAUAUCUAAUAGAGUUUAAAAAAAAUUUUGUUCUUAACUUAAGAGUAAAUAAGAAAUGUUGGUGAUGGUAGAAAGGUAUAUUUAAAAAAUUAAAAAUUAAAAUACUUUUUGUACCCCUAAGUUAAAGGCAAAUAAGAAAAGUCGAUGAUGGCGGAAAGGUAUAUUUGAAAGGGCAAAAUAGUAAUUUCAUACAGAUAAUAGUUAUUGCUAACAGUUUAUUAACAGAAUUUAAUUUUAGGAAUGUAUUUGAAAUAGUUGGAACAUAAAAAGGGUAUUUUCAAUAUUAACCUUUUAAAUCAGAAAUUUUUCAGGGAUAUAUAAGCAAUUACCGCUAUUUUUUUUAUGACUCAGAUGGGUUUUUUCUUACAAUAACUCUUAAAAGAAUUCUAAUUUGCAAAAUAAUCUUUGCAAAAGAAUUAUUUGGCAAACUAAUUCUAUUCUAUUCAGUUCAACGCCAUAAGGGGAAAAAUGAAAGACGUCGUUGACUUGGUUUUAAAUGGUGAAUCAUUCAUCAUCUAUAGAAAUUCUAUUUAUAUUUGUUAGGAUUUUUGUAAGAUUG